Dendrobium catenatum is the source of this 882-nucleotide long non-coding RNA. RefSeq lists it as uncharacterized. The transcript has 3 exons. The record is from RefSeq and is a predicted model, not a curated record. NCBI's taxonomy places the organism in Eukaryota, Viridiplantae, Streptophyta, Magnoliopsida, Asparagales, Orchidaceae.
UUAAUAUUUAAAUUUCAACUAAAAAUCUCUCUUUUAGUUCUUUAACAAAUCAAAUGCAAGUAAUUUGAACUAAUCAUCCUACAUAGGACCUAUCCAAAACUAGACAACCUGUUACACACACUUUAGACUUGUUUGGUUGGAACACGACUUUUAGCCCUAGGUUAGGCUGACAUUUUCUUUUGUUAUUCAGUGUUUACUACAUGUACAUGUUAUAUAAAUGUUAUACUUAAAUUUCCUGUUUAUUAUAUUUUUAUGUACUUGCAUUUAUUUUUUGAAUGGCAUCUACGCUCAUUUGUAUAUUUCUCUUUUAUCUUAUUUUGCGAGGUACAUUGGAUCAUGACGAUAGAGAAUUAAAGAGGAGCAUUUUCUUAGGAGCUUUUAAGUGGCCGCGCCACAAUCUGGGAUCAUUUGCUCAUGAACUUGUAAAUGGCAGCAUCACAAUCAGUUGGAAGAUAUUUAUUCAAGCUUGUUUCUCGUCAAAUGUGAUGCUGUUUUAAAUAGAGCCUCUCGUAAACUAGGACAAAAGCAGAGCAGAAUGACAAAAUUUUGCAGUGGGAUAUUGCUUAUUCUUCAUAUUGAUAUGCGUCAUUUGGGCUCCUAUGUUGAUGUAUAUCAGCGGUAAUCCAACCAAUAUUGCAAAUCCUAUUAAAGAUGUAAGUGUUCAGAUUGAUAUUAAAGCAACAGGCGGAAGGCUUAGACCAUCUCGAACCGAAAAUCUCAUUUUUCACUUCAAAAUGCAGUGAAACCAAAAAAAUGCCGUGUUUCAUCAGUGCGACGUCAAUAUUGGCGUCGCACUGUUCAUCCGCAAUCAAAUGACGUCAAAAAUGGCGAUCGGUUGGAGCAAAGCAAGAACGACAAACAAGUGUUUGCCGUUCGGUUGGA